GUCUACAGCUAUACCACCUUGAAUGUGACUGAUCACAUCUGAUCUCAGAAUCUAAGCAGGGUCAGACCUGGUUAGUACUUGGAUGGGAGAUGGUGAAGGCCAGGGAAAGGGGGGCU
RNAcentral lists this ribosomal RNA (116 nucleotides) under Nannospalax galili (Upper Galilee mountains blind mole rat). The record is from RNAcentral. Lineage: Eukaryota; Metazoa; Chordata; Mammalia; Rodentia; Spalacidae.